This 77-nucleotide transfer RNA is filed under the name Citrobacter freundii. Its description in RNAcentral is "tRNA-Met". It matches the Rfam family "tRNA". From Rfam's summary of the family: Transfer RNA (tRNA) molecules are approximately 80 nucleotides in length. Their secondary structure includes four short double-helical elements and three loops (D, anti-codon, and T loops). Further hydrogen bonds mediate the characteristic L-shaped molecular structure. tRNAs have two regions of fundamental functional importance: the anti-codon, which is responsible for specific mRNA codon recognition, and the 3' end, to which the tRNAs corresponding amino acid is attached (by aminoacyl-tRNA synthetases). tRNAs cope with the degeneracy of the genetic code in two manners: having more than one tRNA (with a specific anti-codon) for a particular amino acid; and 'wobble' base-pairing, i.e. permitting non-standard base-pairing at the 3rd anti-codon position. The record is from RNAcentral. Lineage: Bacteria; Pseudomonadati; Pseudomonadota; Gammaproteobacteria; Enterobacterales; Enterobacteriaceae. RNAcentral also lists the same sequence under 5 other names.
CGCGGGGUGGAGCAGCCUGGUAGCUCGUCGGGCUCAUAACCCGAAGGUCGUCUGUUCAAAUCCGGCCCCCGCAACCA